GACGAACGUUGGCGGCGUGCUUAAUACAUGCAAGUCAACUGAAGCAGAGGUAGUAAUAUCUCUGUGGAGGUGGCGCACGGGUGAGUAACACGUAGGUAAUCUGCCUUCAGGUCUGACACUAACCCCGAGAAAUCGGGGCUAAUAGCAGAUGAUGCAGCGGCUUGACAUCAAGACAGUUGUUAAAGCUUCGGCGCCUGAAGAUGAGCCUGCGCUGAUUAGCUAGUUGGCGAGUAACAGCCCACCAAGGCUACGAUCAGUAGCUGGUCUGAGAGGAUGAUCAGCCACACUGGAACUGAGACACGGUCCAGACUCCGUACGGGAGCAGC
Molecule: ribosomal RNA, 326 nt
Filed under: uncultured bacterium
Lineage: Bacteria
Description: bacterial SSU rRNA
Rfam family: Bacterial small subunit ribosomal RNA
Source: RNAcentral